RNAcentral lists this ribosomal RNA (492 nucleotides) under uncultured bacterium. RNAcentral describes it as "bacterial SSU rRNA". It matches the Rfam family "Bacterial small subunit ribosomal RNA", at positions 903 to 1397 of the family's 1533-position model. The record is from RNAcentral.
AAAUGAAUAGACGGGGGCCCGCACAAGCAGUGGAGUAUGUGGUUUAAUUCGAAGCAACGCGAAGAACCUUACCAGGGCUUGACAUCCCUCUGACUGGCUUAGAGAUAAGCCUUUUCUUCGGAACAGAGGUGACAGGUGGUGCAUGGUUGUCGUCAGCUCGUGUCGUGAGAUGUUGGGUUAAGUCCCGCAACGAGCGCAACCCCUGUUGUUAGUUGCCAUCAUUAAGUUGGGCACUCUAACGAGACUGCCGGUGACAAAUCGGAGGAAGGUGGGGACGACGUCAAAUCAUCAUGCCCCUUAUGUCCUGGGCUACACACGUACUACAAUGGCGACUACAGAGGGCAGCAACAUCGCGAGGUAGAGCAAAUCCCCAAAAGUCGCCCCAGUUCGGAUUGCAGGCUGAAACUCGCCUGCAUGAAGUCGGAAUUGCUAGUAAUGGCAGGUCAGCAUACUGCCGUGAAUACGUUCCCGGGCCUUGUACACACCGCCCGU